Molecule: long non-coding RNA, 1665 nt
Organism: Chinchilla lanigera (long-tailed chinchilla)
Lineage: Eukaryota; Metazoa; Chordata; Mammalia; Rodentia; Chinchillidae
Source: Ensembl
GGCUUCCAGACCUGGGGCAUGGAGCGGAGCGGCUGGGGAGCCCACGAUAGGACCGGCUGGCGCAGCGGGCUGGGCCCACACUCAGGCUCCCUGGAGUGGAUGCCCACGGCGCUGCUCCCAGCAGGCAGAUGGGCAGGAUGCAGGAUUCGAGCUUUCUGGUCCCUUGCCAGCAACAUUCCUGCCACAUUGAUAGAGACCUACAGUCCAAAAAGAGGGACGUGAGGAACCCUUCUGCUCUACUUCAUUCCUUGGGGGGCCGGUGGAAGCACACCAGGGAGUCAGACGGGAAACGAAGAGAAGCCCAGAAUCGUCGUGUGCAGGGUCAGGAGGCAGGCGAGGGCCUGGCCCUGGUCGGCCUGCAGGUGCUCGCCCGGGCUGCGUGUGGGUGCGGGAGGCCGGAGACAGACCGGACCCUCCACCCCAAGGAGUCUCAGGGCAACAGAUCGCUUGGUGAGGCACGACUGCUCCAGACCACCCAGCAGUGAAACUGGUAGGUAGUGAGCUCCCCAGCAGUGGAGGAUGAAUAACUUCCAGGCGGGCCUGCUGUAAAAAGGCCGGAGCAGAAGAUAGGACACUGAACCUAGUUUGCCCUCCAAGUUCCCCUCCCUUUAGGAGAUGGUGUUCUGGCUUUAGGACAGGAAAUAAUCAUUAAAUAUUUGCUCUGCCCGGCUCAGCAACGGAAGGGUAGCUGCCACCUGCCUGAGGGACAACCAUAGAGCGGCGCAGGUACCUGGGGGGGACAAGAGGGUUUUGAAGCCGAGCCAGGAACUGCUGGGGACCUCGCGCUGGGCUCGGCUGCAGAUCUGGGACUUCUACUGCUGUGCAGAAGCGACCGUGGGAUUGCCUGAUGCUCUCAAAGGGCUGCUUUUGAAUAAGAGUUUUCCCAUUGACUCAUUGUACUCUUCUUAAAAUUUCUCAGUAGGCGUGAAAUCUUCCAAAAUGAAUCUUUCAAAAAAAAAAAAAAAAAAACAGAUUGUAUCUUUCUGCACCGAAGAUCACACAUAGGGCCUCAUUCAGGCUGGGCGAGCCCACUGCCACUGAGCUACACCUCCGGCCCAACGCUGCUGUUUUGACUUAAAUAUUUCAGAGUUAAGCCCAGAAUUUGUAUUUUUAAUAUUCUCCCCAGGGGGAUCUAAUCUAUAGAUCUGUAGCUUAGAAUCUUUCCUCCAAGUGAAUUAUAGAAAAGCGUCAGUAAAUACAAUUUUGUUAUACUUUGUAUAAAUUAGAAAUUCUCUGAGAAUAAUCAUUCAUACAUAUUAUAUAGGUAUGGGGGAGUUUUAGAUGUUGCUUUUUCUUGAGAAGAAUCACAUGUAGCUGGGCAUGCUGGCACACACUUGUAACCCCAGCCCUGGAAGGCUGAUGCAAGAGGGUUGCCAUAAAUCCAAGGCCAGCCUGAAAUACAUAACAAGAGCCAGUCUCAAAAAACAUACAAAAGAGAGAAAGAAAGAAAGAAAGAAAAAGAAAGAACUGUGUUUAUAUUUAACCCUUUGAAAUACAAAGAAAGAUAUAAUACCUGCAAAGCAAAAGGACAUCUUCCUUUCAGUCUGUUUUAUCUGAGGGGCAGGAGGAGUAGGCCAUGAAGCAUGCUAGUAAAAGGUUUUGUUUUGUUUGCAGUUGGGCCCACACAGUUGUGUAGUUGUGUGAAACAAAUAAAAGGUAAAAAAG